AAAACCCGGCAGCUAGAUUUUUAACCAAAGGUUUUUGUUGGAUUCUUGGAGAUGGUUCACAUAUUCAAUUUUGGCAUGACUUUUGGUUUGAUGAUAUACCACUUAAAGCUCACUUUCACAGAUUAUUCAGAUUGGCUUCUGACAAGAAGGCUUUUGUAAGGAAUUGUGGUUUUUUCUUUAACGGUGUGUGGCAUUGGAAGCUAGAGUAGUUAAGGGAGUGAAGAUCCUUUGAAGAGGAUCAAUGGCAGCAACUAGAAACUCUAUUACAGCCUAUUUCAGUAUUCCAACAAGCCCAUGAUAGAAUAGCUUGGAUGCAUGAUCUUAAAGGUAAAUCUUUUGUAAAAAAUUUUUACUCUUUAUUAGAAUCAACUAUGGCUGGGCAAUCUGAGGUGAGUUUCAAUUAAAAAUCUUUAUGGGCUCCUUUAAUUUCUUCUAAAGUAGCAAUAUUUGUUUAGAAAGCAUAUCUUGAUAGAAUUCCUUGCAAGACUAAUUUACUAAAACAUAAAUUAUUACAAAAUAAAAAAAAAGUAGCUUUUGCCCUUUAUGUGAGAAGGAUAAUGAAUCAGUGGAUCAUUGUUUGCUAGCUUGUGAUUUAGUACAAAAUGUUUGGAACUCGAUUUUCAGAUGGUGGAAUGUUUCUACAGCUUUUCCUAAGACGUUUGUUCAAUUAGGUUGGCAAUGGGAAUGCUUAUUGAAAAAUAACGGGUAUAAAGUAGCUUGGAUCUUGAUUUUUUUUUUUUUUUUUUUUUUUUUUUUUUUUUUGGUUUGUUAGUUCAUGCACUUUCUGGCUUAGGAGAAAUAAGGCAAUCUUCAAUUCAAAUAUUCAGGGUUGUGAUGAAGUUGUAGAUAGCAUAAAAUUCAGAAGUUUCAAAAUUUUAAAAGCUAAGAUUCCUUCUAUUUCCUAUGAUGUAAGGGAAUGGUACUAUCAACCUCAAAUUGUAUCUUGUGAUAGAGUUUUCACUAAGAAACCAAAAUCUAUUUUGAAAACUCAGCUGGAUUAGGAACCUCCUACUGGUAACAGAUAUAAGUUCAAUGUUGAUGGAGUUUCAAGAGGAAAACCAGGUCCUGCUAGUUUCGGUGGUGUGUUAAGGAACAAUAAAGGUGAGGUAAAGUGUCGAUUUUUUCAAUCAGCUGGCAUCAUUGACACUAAUGAAGCUGAACUAAGAGCAAUUUUUAGGGCUAUAAAAUUAUUUUCUCAAUCUUAGUUCAAACUCUCACCAUUUUACAGAUUCGUUGGCUAAGAAGGGAGUUGAAACUCAUGAAGAUUUUCUUGCUUGGUUAUAAUGAUGGAAAGACCAAUAUGUAAAUCUUUUGGACUGUAAUUUUUCAAUAUGAUUAGUUGUGAAGACACUUUGCAGCAGUUGGGUUGUACCUGCA
This 1377-nucleotide long non-coding RNA is filed under the name Jatropha curcas. RNAcentral describes it as "long non-coding RNA (JCUR_LNC001263)". The record is from RNAcentral. Lineage: Eukaryota; Viridiplantae; Streptophyta; Magnoliopsida; Malpighiales; Euphorbiaceae.